UUAAAUUGAAGAGUUUGAUCAUGGCUCAGAUUGAACGCUGGCGGCAGGCCUAACACAUGCAAGUCGAACGGUAGCAGGAAGAAGCUUGCUUCUUUGCUGACGAGUGGCGGACGGGUGAGUAAUGUCUGGGAAACUGCCUGAUGGAGGGGGAUAACUACUGGAAACGGUAGCUAAUACCGCAUAACGUCGCAAGACCAAAGAGGGGGACCUUCGGGCCUCUUGCCAUCGGAUGUGCCCAGAUGGGAUUAGCUAGUAGGUGGGGUAACGGCUCACCUAGGCGACGAUCCCUAGCUGGUCUGAGAGGAUGACCAGCCACACUGGAACUGAGACACGGUCCAGACUCCUACGGGAGGCAGCAGUGGGGAAUAUUGCACAAUGGGCGCAAGCCUGAUGCAGCCAUGCCGCGUGUAUGAAGAAGGCCUUCGGGUUGUAAAGUACUUUCAGCGGGGAGGAAGGGAGUAAAGUUAAUACCUUUGCUCAUUGACGUUACCCGCAGAAGAAGCACCGGCUAACUCCGUGCCAGCAGCCGCGGUAAUACGGAGGGUGCAAGCGUUAAUCGGAAUUACUGGGCGUAAAGCGCACGCAGGCGGUUUGUUAAGUCAGAUGUGAAAUCCCCGGGCUCAACCUGGGAACUGCAUCUGAUACUGGCAAGCUUGAGUCUCGUAGAGGGGGGUAGAAUUCCAGGUGUAGCGGUGAAAUGCGUAGAGAUCUGGAGGAAUACCGGUGGCGAAGGCGGCCCCCUGGACGAAGACUGACGCUCAGGUGCGAAAGCGUGGGGAGCAAACAGGAUUAGAUACCCUGGUAGUCCACGCCGUAAACGAUGUCGACUUGGAGGUUGUGCCCUUGAGGCGUGGCUUCCGGAGCUAACGCGUUAAGUCGACCGCCUGGGGAGUACGGCCGCAAGGUUAAAACUCAAAUGAAUUGACGGGGGCCCGCACAAGCGGUGGAGCAUGUGGUUUAAUUCGAUGCAACGCGAAGAACCUUACCUGGUCUUGACAUCCACGGAAGUUUUCAGAGAUGAGAAUGUGCCUUCGGGAACCGUGAGACAGGUGCUGCAUGGCUGUCGUCAGCUCGUGUUGUGAAAUGUUGGGUUAAGUCCCGCAACGAGCGCAACCCUUAUCCUUUGUUGCCAGCGGUCCGGCCGGGAACUCAAAGGAGACUGCCAGUGAUAAACUGGAGGAAGGUGGGGAUGACGUCAAGUCAUCAUGGCCCUUACGACCAGGGCUACACACGUGCUACAAUGGCGCAUACAAAGAGAAGCGACCUCGCGAGAGCAAGCGGACCUCAUAAAGUGCGUCGUAGUCCGGAUUGGAGUCUGCAACUCGACUCCAUGAAGUCGGAAUCGCUAGUAAUCGUGGAUCAGAAUGCCACGGUGAAUACGUUCCCGGGCCUUGUACACACCGCCCGUCACACCAUGGGAGUGGGUUGCAAAAGAAGUAGGUAGCUUAACCUUCGGGAGGGCGCUUACCACUUUGUGAUUCAUGACUGGGGUGAAGUCGUAACAAGGUAACCGUAGGGGAACCUGCGGUUGGAUCACCUCCUUACCUUAAAGAAGC
RNAcentral lists this ribosomal RNA (1556 nucleotides) under Escherichia coli. RNAcentral's name for it is "bacterial SSU rRNA". It matches the Rfam family "Bacterial small subunit ribosomal RNA". Lineage: Bacteria; Pseudomonadati; Pseudomonadota; Gammaproteobacteria; Enterobacterales; Enterobacteriaceae. The record is from RNAcentral.